UGGGGAAUUUUGGACAAUGGGCGCAAGCCUGAUCCGGCAAUGCCGCGUGCAGGAUGAAGGCCUUCGGGUUGUAAACUGCUUUUGUACGGAACGAAACGGCUCUGUCUAAUACAUGGGGCUAAUGACGGUACCGUAAGAAUAAGCACCGGCUAACUACGUGCCAGCAGCCGCGGUAAUAUGUAGGGUGCAAGUGUUAAUCGGAAUUACUGGGCGUAAAGCGUGCGCAGGCGGUGAUGUAAGACAGAGGUGAAAUCCCCGGGCUCAACCUGGGAAUUGCCUUUGUGACUGCAAGGCUUGAGUGCGGCAGAGGGGGAUGGAAUUCCGUGUGUAGCAGUGAAAUGCGUAGAUAUGCGGAGGAACACCGAUGGCGAAGGCAGCCUCCUGGGCCAGUACUGACGCUCAUGCACGAAAGCGUGGGGAGCAAACA
RNAcentral lists this ribosomal RNA (427 nucleotides) under uncultured bacterium. RNAcentral's name for it is "bacterial SSU rRNA". It matches the Rfam family "Bacterial small subunit ribosomal RNA", at positions 355 to 774 of the family's 1533-position model. The record is from RNAcentral.